CUGUUAACCCCAGUGAUUCUAAAUUAUGCUCAUGUGUCUGUAUGUCGGAGAAGGCAAUGGCACCCCACUCCAGUACUCUUGCCUGGAAAAUCCCAUGGACGGAGGGCCCGGUGGGCUGUAGUCAUGUCCGACUCUUUGAGACCCCAUGGACUGUAGCCGGCCAGGCUCCUCUGUCCAUGGAAUUCUCCAGGCAAGAAUAUUGGAGUGGAUUGCCAUUCCCUUCUCCAGGGGAUCUUCCUGACCCAGGAAUUGAACCCAGGUCUUCUGCUUUGCAGGCAGACUCUUUAUCAUCUGAGCCACCAAGGAAGCCCUGGUAUAUAAUAUAAAGCCCUGGUAUAUAAUAUAAUAUAUAUUAUAUCUAUUGUGCAUAAUUUAUGCAUGCAUUUAUUUAUACAUAUAUGUGUGUUAGUUGCACUUACAUAAUUAUGCUUAUAUUAUUAUAUAUAAAUAAUGCAGAAAGCUUCUGAGUAGCCAGUAAAUUAUUUAGUGAAGUAUUGCUCUCUGAGAGGUCUUAAAAUCAUAAUUUAACAAAAUAAAUAUGGAUUUGAAUAAUCUGUUAUCACUACACAAUUAGGUAUUGAUUGUCUUUAUUAUUAUUUCUUGCUAGGGUCCAUAAAGAAAACAUGAAUGCUCUUAUCUUAUCUAUGAUUAUCUUGAACCUUACUACAUUCUUCUUGUCAAGUGAGAGUCUUAAAACUUAUGACCAGUCAAAACAAAAGCUAUCAAGGCUUAAUUCACCUGCCCAAACAGGAAAAACAAAACCCCCUCAUGUACAAGCUGCAUUAAAACAAGCUGAAGCCCAGACAUUAAAGCAGCCAUCAAACCAUAUUUCACUUACUGGAAUUCGACCAAGAGCAUCUCCAUCUGUUUUAUCAAACUCAUCUCUGGCAUCUGCAUUUUUAAAAUCUCUGACUUCCCAGUCUACAUCCAAGCACUCGUUACCUUUCCAAGAUACACUAAAGAAGUCUACCUCUACCAAAAAGCAAUUUCUAACUAACAACACUGUACUAAAACAGCCUCAGUCAAAAUCAACUUCAGAAAAACAGAAUUUAAUCCACAAGUCUACACUCAAACUGACCUUAGGAGACAAGUCUAAGUCCAAACAGUCAUCUUUCACCGAGACUGGUAUAAAAAGAAAGGAAAUUGAUAAGCCUAAACCAAAACAGUCAAAAGUUACCAAGUCUACACCCAAACAGACAUCACCUUCACCCAAUACAGGGAAAAGGCCUUCAGUUGCCAAUGCUACACAGAAAUCAACUAUAAAGACAACAAAACGAAAGACUCCCACUGCCAAACCUGUACUUAGACAGACGUCAGCUUCCCAAGGUGAAAUAAGGAACCAUCAUGUUCCUAAGUCUAAAAGAGCAAACUCUAAAGUUCCUGAGAGUAACACGAGGUGAGUUGCUUCUAAGCGGACUCCACCAAACAACUUAACAGGCUCCAGGUCUACUAGAAGAAGAAUUACUAAGUCCACUGACAAAAAGUCUCAAAGAUGCAAUUAUGAUGGAAGCCAGAAUCUACCUUCCAAAAACAAACGAAGGAAGACGAGACCUUUGCAUUCUGUUGAACUGUCUUCAGGGUAUCCAGCAUUACCACUUACACGUAAGCAUCGUGUGUAAAAACCUCAUCCACCACCAUUUUGUCCAAUAAAAUCUCAUUCCUCUCAUCUUCA
Long non-coding RNA from Bos indicus x Bos taurus (hybrid cattle), 1672 nucleotides. Lineage: Eukaryota; Metazoa; Chordata; Mammalia; Artiodactyla; Bovidae. The record is from Ensembl.